This 404-nucleotide ribosomal RNA is filed under the name uncultured bacterium. RNAcentral describes it as "bacterial SSU rRNA". It matches the Rfam family "Bacterial small subunit ribosomal RNA", at positions 29 to 439 of the family's 1533-position model. The record is from RNAcentral.
AAUGAACGCUGGCGGCGUGCCUAACACAUGCAAGUCGAGCGCGAAAGUCUCUUCGGAGAUGAGUAAAGCGGCGGACGGGUGAGUAACACGUGAGAACUUGCCUUUUGGUGGAGAAUACCUUCGAGAAAUUGAGGUUAAUACUGCAUAAGUCCCUCCGGGGAGAAAGAUGGCUUUAUGCUAUCGCCAGAAGAUAGGCUUGCGGACUAUUAGCUAGUUGGUGGGGAAAGGCCUACCAAGGCAAUGAUGGUUAACCGGCCUGAGAGGGUGAACGGUCACAUUGGAACUGAGACACGGUCCAAACUCCUACGGGAGGCAGCAGUGAGGAAUAUUGCGCAAUGGGCGAAAGCCUGACGCAGCGACGCCGCGUGAAGGAUGAAGGUCUUCGGAUCGUAAACUUCUGUUGA